AUACGGAGGGGGCUAGCGUUGUUCGGAAUUACUGGGCGUAAAGCGCACGUAGGCGGACUGGAAAGUUGGGGGUGAAAUCCCGGGGCUCAACCCCGGAACUGCCUCCAAAACUUCCAAUCUGGAGAUCGAGAGAGGUGAGUGGAAUUCCAAGUGUAGAGGUGAAAUUCGUAGAUAUUUGGAGGAACACCAGUGGCGAAGGCGGCUCACUGGCUCGAUACUGACGCUGAGGUGCGAAAGCGUGGGGAGCAAACAGGAUUAGAAACCCUAGUAGUCC
RNAcentral lists this ribosomal RNA (274 nucleotides) under uncultured bacterium. Its description in RNAcentral is "partial 16S ribosomal RNA". It matches the Rfam family "Bacterial small subunit ribosomal RNA", at positions 523 to 796 of the family's 1533-position model. The record is from RNAcentral.